GACGAACGCUGGCGGCGUGCUUAACACAUGCAAGUCGAACGGAAAGACCCUGCUUUUGUGGGGUGCUCGAGUGGCGAACGGGUGAGUAACACGUGAGUAACCUGCCCUUGACUUUGGGAUAACUUCAGGAAACUGGGGCUAAUACCGGAUAGGAGCUCCUGCUGCAUGGUGGGGGUUGGAAAGUUUCGGCGGUUGGGGAUGGACUCGCGGCUUAUCAGCUUGUUGGUGGGGUAGUGGCUUACCAAGGCUUUGACGGGUAGCCGGCCUGAGAGGGUGACCGGCCACAUUGGGACUGAGAUACGGCCCAGACUCCUACGAGAGGCAGCAGUGGGGAAUAUUGCACAAUGGGCGGAAGCCUGAUGCAGCAACGCCGCGUGCGGGAUGACGGCCUUCGGGUUGUAAACCGCUUUCGCCUGUGACGAAGCGUGAGUGACGGUAAUGGGUAAAGAAGCACCGGCUAACUACGUG
RNAcentral lists this ribosomal RNA (468 nucleotides) under uncultured bacterium. RNAcentral's name for it is "partial 16S ribosomal RNA". It matches the Rfam family "Bacterial small subunit ribosomal RNA", at positions 28 to 507 of the family's 1533-position model. The record is from RNAcentral.